UACGAGGGGGGCAAGCGUUGUUCGGAUUUAUUGGGCGUAAAGAGCUCGUAGGCGGCCUGUUGCGUCCGCUGUGAAAUCCCAGGGCUCAACCCUGGGCGUGCAGUGGAUACGGGCAGGCUGGAGGCAGGCAGGGGAGAACGGAAUUCCCGGUGUAGCGGUGAAAUGCGCAGAUAUCAGGAGGAACACCUGUGGUGUAGACAGCUUACUGGACCACUUCUGACGCUGAGACACGAAAGCGUGGGUAGCAAACAGG
RNAcentral lists this ribosomal RNA (253 nucleotides) under uncultured bacterium. RNAcentral's name for it is "partial 16S ribosomal RNA". It matches the Rfam family "Bacterial small subunit ribosomal RNA", at positions 524 to 776 of the family's 1533-position model. The record is from RNAcentral.